Long non-coding RNA from Gorilla gorilla gorilla (western lowland gorilla), 740 nucleotides. RefSeq lists it as uncharacterized. NCBI's taxonomy places the organism in Eukaryota, Metazoa, Chordata, Mammalia, Primates, Hominidae. The record is from RefSeq and is a predicted model, not a curated record. The transcript is spliced from 3 exons.
AGGCUCUUCUGUGUUGAGCGGAGGAGCAGCUCUGUGCCCAGCUUAGAGGACUGGAAGAGGCCGCAACCUUCCGCCUGCUGGAGGGUGGAGGAUGGAUGGAGCUUGGAGCCUGGAGCCUGGUUCACUACCUCGGUGCGGUUGGUGGUGGCGAUAGAGCAGCAGGAGAGCGGUCGGCAGCAGAAGCUUCUCCUGCCAGGCUGGAGGACUAGAAGGAAGAGGCACUGCCACAUGCUGGAGACUGGAACCUGUGCCACCAUGGCUCGCCUCGCUGUGGUUGGUGGUGACGUCAGAGACUGCAGCUCAGCCACAGUGGUAGAAAAGUGAUGGGAUGGUUUCCUAGAAACAUGAUGGUUUACUGGCGUUGAUCUCACAGUCUGGUGAGAACUUCUUUACUCAUAAUGUCAAGUUCAGUUUAUCUUCCCAACCAAGGAGCAUUCAGCACAGAACAAAGUCGUUCUCCUCCUCACUCUGUAAAGUAUACGUUUCCCAGCACCCACCACCAGCAGGGAGCUCAACCUCACAAGACAGACCAUCAUGUAGAGACAACUGCUACACAACAUGGGAAGAACUGCUAGAGAUGUAAAGAUGUAAAGACCCAAAAUGAAGAAGCCAGAACACAUGAACACGAAACCAGCCAACCAACAAACACAAGCAGAUGGUGCAUAGAGUCUGGGGACCAACUGCACGGUGCUGAGGAAUGCAGGUGGAGGCAGAGUGGAAAUCACCUGAGUUUCCAUCAG